Molecule: ribosomal RNA, 253 nt
Filed under: uncultured bacterium
Lineage: Bacteria
Description: partial 16S ribosomal RNA
Rfam family: Bacterial small subunit ribosomal RNA
Source: RNAcentral
UACAGAGGGUGCGAGCGUUAAUCGGAAUUACUGGGCGUAAAGCGCGCGUAGGCGGUUUUGCAAGUCGGGUGUGAAAUCCCCAGGCCUAACCUGGGAACUGCACUCGAGACUGCAUGGCUAGAGUAUCGGAGAGGGAAGUGGAAUUUCAGGUGUAGCGGUGAAAUGCGUAGAUAUCUGAAGGAACAUCAGUGGCGAAAGCGGCAUCCUGGACCAAUAUUGACGCUGAGGAGCGAAAGCUAGGGGAGCAAACGGG